CCAGUAUGUGUGGAGCCGUCCUUGAAAUACCACCCUUGUAGUGUUGAUGUUCUAACGUUGACCCCUAAUCGGGGUUGCGGACAGUGCCUGGUGGGUAGUUUGACUGGGGCGGUCUCCUCCCAAAGAGUAACGGAGGAGCACGAAGGUGGGCUAAUCACGGUUGGACAUCGUGAGGUUAGUGCAAUGGCAUAAGCCCGCUUGACUGCGAGAAUGACAAUUCGAGCAGGUGCGAAAGCAGGUCAUAGUGAUCCGGUGGUUCUGAAUGGAAGGGCCAUCGCUCAACGGAUAAAAGGUACUCCGGGGAUAACAGGCUGAUACCGCCCAAGAGUUCAUAUCGACGGCGGUGUUUGGCACCUCGAUGUCGGCUCAUCACAUCCUGGGGCUGAAGUCGGUCCCAAGGGUAUGGCUGUUCGCCAUUUAAAGUGGUACGCGAGCUGGGUUUAGAACGUCGUGAGACAGUUCGGUCCCUAUCUGCCGUGGGCGUUGGAAGAUUGAAGGGGGCUGCUCCUAGUACGAGAGGACCGGAGUGGACGAACCUCUGGUGUUCGGGUUGUGUCGCCAGACGCAUUGCCCGGUAGCUAAGUUCGGAAUCGAUAACCGCUGAAAGCAUCUAAGCGGGAAGCGAGCCCUGAGAUGAGUCUUCCCUGAUACUUUAAGUAUCCUAAAGGGUUGUCGGAGACUACGACGUUGAUAGGUCAGGUGUGUAAGUGCUGUGAGGCAUUGAGCUAACUGAUACUAAUUGCCCGUGAGGCUUAACCAU
Molecule: ribosomal RNA, 760 nt
Filed under: Vibrio parahaemolyticus
Lineage: Bacteria; Pseudomonadati; Pseudomonadota; Gammaproteobacteria; Vibrionales; Vibrionaceae
Description: partial 23S ribosomal RNA
Rfam family: Bacterial large subunit ribosomal RNA
Source: RNAcentral